CCAAUAGCGUAUAUUAAAGUUGUUGCAGUUAAAAAGCUCGUAGUUGAACUUCGGGGUUCACCCAUUGGUCAGGCUUAAUUGUCUGCACUGGUGAGAUGAGUCUCUACCUUCUGAGGAACUUUCAUGCCAUUUAUUUGGUGUGGUUGGAAAUCAGGACUGUUACUUUGAAAAAAUUAGAGUGUUUAAAGCAGGCUAACGUCUGAAUACAUUAGCAUGGAAUAAUGAAAUAGGACGGACUGAUUCUAUUUCGUUGGUUUCUAGGAUCACCGUAAUGAUUAAUAGGGAUAGUUGGGGGCAUUAGUAUUCAAUUGUCAGAGGUGAAAUUCUUGGAUUUAUUGAAGACUAACUACUGCGAAAGCAUUUGCCAAGGAUGUUUUCAUUAAUCAAGAACGAAAGUUAGGGGAUCGAAGACGAUCAGAUACCGUCGUAGUCUUAACCAUAAACUAUGCCGACUAGGGAUCGGAUGAUGUUAAUUUUUUAAUGACUCAUUCGGCGCCUUACG
This 502-nucleotide ribosomal RNA is filed under the name uncultured Glomeromycotina. RNAcentral's name for it is "partial small subunit ribosomal RNA". It matches the Rfam family "Eukaryotic small subunit ribosomal RNA", at positions 591 to 1092 of the family's 1831-position model. The record is from RNAcentral. Lineage: Eukaryota; Fungi; Glomeromycota.